CUGCCAAUGAUGAUAACAUUUACCAUAACCAUCUUUCGGGACUGAAUGGCUUUGUUAUGCCUUGAUGUUAUUCUGCAAUUCUGAGGUCU
Molecule: non-coding RNA, 89 nt
Organism: Glycine max (soybean)
Lineage: Eukaryota; Viridiplantae; Streptophyta; Magnoliopsida; Fabales; Fabaceae
Source: Rfam